GUGAGGAAUUUUCCGCAAUGGGCGAAAGCCUGACGGAGCAAUGCCGCGUGAAGGAUGAAGGCCUAUGGGUUGUAAACUUCUUUUCUCAGAAAAGAAUUAUGACGGUAUCUGAGGAAUAAGCAUCGGCUAACUCUGUGCCAGCAGCCGCGGUAAGACAGAGGAUGCAAGCGUUAUCCGGACUGAUUGGGCGUAAAGCGUCUGUAGGUUGUUUCACAAGUAUUCUGUCAAAGAUUAGGGCUUAACCCUAGAUAGGCAGAAUAAACUUUUAAGCUAGAGUUUGGUAGAGGCAGAGGGAAUUCCCGGUGGAGCGGUGAAAUGCGUAGAUAUCGGGAGGAACACCAAAGGCGAAGGCACUCUGCUGGGCCAAUACUAACACUGAGAGACGAGAGCGAGGGGAGCAAAUGGGAUUAGAUACCCGAGUAGUCC
RNAcentral lists this ribosomal RNA (426 nucleotides) under uncultured bacterium. RNAcentral describes it as "bacterial SSU rRNA". It matches the Rfam family "Bacterial small subunit ribosomal RNA", at positions 354 to 796 of the family's 1533-position model. The record is from RNAcentral.